AGCGGCGGACGGGUGAGUAACGCGUGGGUAACCUGCCCUGUACACACGGAUAACAUACCGAAAGGUAUGCUAAUACGGGAUAACAUAAGAGAGUCGCAUGGCUAUCUUAUCAAAGCUUUUGCGGUACAGGAUGGACCCGCGUCUGAUUAGCUAGUUGGUAAGGUAACGGCUUACCAAGGCGACGAUUAGUAGCCGACCUGAGAGGGUGAUCGGCCACAUUGGAACUGAGACACGGUCCAAACUCCUACGGGAGGCAGCAGUGGGGAAUAUUGCACAAUGGGCGAAAGCCUGAUGCAGCAACGCCGCGUGAGCGAUGAAGGCCUUCGGGUCGUAAAGCUCUGUCCUCAAGGAAGAUAAUGACGGUACUUGAGGAGGAAGCCCCGGCUAACUACGUGCCAGCAGCCGCGGUAAUACGUAGGGGGCUAGCGUUAUCCGGAAUUACUGGGCGUAAAGGGUGCGUAGGCGGUCUUUCAAGUCAGAAGUGAAAGGCUACGGCUCAACCGUAGUAAGCUUUUGAAACUGUAAGACUUGAGUGCAGGAGAGGAGAGUGGAAUUCCUAGUGUAGCGGUGAAAUGCGUAGAUAUUAGGAGGAACACCAGUUGCGAAGGCGGCUCUCUGGACUGUAACUGACGCUGAGGCACGAAAGCGUGGGGAG
This 655-nucleotide ribosomal RNA is filed under the name uncultured Clostridium sp. RNAcentral's name for it is "bacterial SSU rRNA". It matches the Rfam family "Bacterial small subunit ribosomal RNA", at positions 94 to 768 of the family's 1533-position model. Lineage: Bacteria; Bacillati; Bacillota; Clostridia; Eubacteriales; Clostridiaceae. The record is from RNAcentral.